AGUCCAGACUCCUACGGGAGGCAGCAGUGGGGAAUAUUGCACAAUGGGGGAAACCCUGAUGCAGCGACGCCGCGUGAAGGAAGAAGUGUUUCGGUAUGUAAACUUCUAUCAGCAGGGAAGAAAGUGACGGUACCUGACUAAGAAGCCCCGACUAACUACGUGCCAGCAGCCGCGGUAAUACGUAGGGGGCAAGCGUUAUCCGGAUUUACUGGGUGUAAAGGGAGCGUAGGCGGCGAUGCAAGUCAGAAGUGAAAGCCCGGGGCUCAACUCCGGGACUGCUUUUGAAACUGUAUGGCUAGAUUGCAGGAGAGGCAAGUGGAAUUCCUAGUGUAGCGGUGAAAUGCGUAGAUAUUAGGAGGAACACCAGUGGCGAAGGCGGCCUGCUGGACAGUAACUGACGUUGAGGCUCGAAAGCGUGGGGAGCAAACAGGAUUAGAUCCCCCCGUA
RNAcentral lists this ribosomal RNA (447 nucleotides) under uncultured bacterium. RNAcentral describes it as "bacterial SSU rRNA". It matches the Rfam family "Bacterial small subunit ribosomal RNA", at positions 328 to 792 of the family's 1533-position model. The record is from RNAcentral.